CUUGGACCAAUCAAGUUUCACUGUUGAACCGAACCACCCCCGAAGCCCAUGGAUUCCAGAUAACUGAACCAAAACAGGAUAAAGACAGCCCUAAUAGCCAAUCAACACUGUCUGCUAGAGUUGGAUCAUCCCAGCAGCUGUGUGGUGGGAAGUUUUUGUCUGAUGAGAAGAAAGCAAAUCGAUUUGGCUGAAAUGGAAAUCUUGGUAAUGAUCUCUCCCUGAUACCCACGCGGCUCCUCAUGCCCCCGGCAGAUCUCAGCCCAGAUGAUGUUGCUGUUCAUCACGUUUUCCUACUGUUCAUCAUGUUUCAAGCUGGAAACAGAGUCAUUUUCCCCUUAAUACCCUUCCCCCAAUUCAACCCGUCAGUUUUAGCUCUCUCAGUCCUAUUUCCAAGACACAUCCUGACUCUAUUCACUCUCUCCCUGUCCACCCCCAUCACCCUAAGCCAGUGAUUUUCAACCACAGUCCAUUUUGAUGCCCAAGGAACAUUCGACAACGUCUGCAGAGAGUUCUGGCUGUCACAACUCAGGGGGAGGGGAGCCACUGGUGUUUGGUGAGGAGAAGCCAGGGAUGCGGCUCAACAUCCUACACUGCACAGGACGGCCCACAAUCAAGACUUACCUGGCUCAAAUUUCAGUAGCGCCCAGUGGAGAAACACUGGUCUCGGCCAACUGUCCUCUGCCUUGGCUGAACAGCUGCCACGUGCCCCCUGGGUCUGCCAGUUGCCAUUGGCUCUUUACUGUCCUAAAUGUUUCCUCACCUUAUGAUUCCCCAAUUAAAUGGUUUCAGUGA
This is a non-coding RNA of Macaca mulatta (Rhesus monkey), 792 nucleotides long. NCBI's taxonomy places the organism in Eukaryota, Metazoa, Chordata, Mammalia, Primates, Cercopithecidae. The record is from RefSeq and is a predicted model, not a curated record.